Molecule: ribosomal RNA, 1356 nt
Filed under: uncultured bacterium
Lineage: Bacteria
Description: partial 16S small subunit ribosomal RNA
Rfam family: Bacterial small subunit ribosomal RNA
Source: RNAcentral
GAUGAACGCCAACUUCCGGCCUAACACCUGCCAGUCCAAGGGCCACCUUUUUCCUACCAUAAAAAAAAUGGCCACCGGCCCCCCGGUGAAUUACCCCUAUCCCACCCGCCCAAUACUCCCGAAUAACCCUUCCAAAGAAAAAAUAAUACCCGAAGGCCUAACAAUAUCCCCAGAAAUUUUUAUUUAAAAAUUUCCGUUUACGAUGGGGAAUCCUUCCCUUUAUUUGUUGGCCGGGUAACGGCCCACCAAGACUACGAUGGAUAGGGGUUCUGAGAGGAAGGUCCCCCACAUUGGAACUGAGACACGGUCCAAACUCCUACGGGAGGCAGCAGUGAGGAAUAUUGGUCAAUGGGCGAGAGCCUGAACCAGCCAAGUAGCGUGAAGGAUGAAGGCUCUAUGGGUCGUAAACUUCUUUUAUAUGGGAAUAAAGUUUUCCACGUGUGGAAUUUUGUAUGUACCAUAUGAAUAAGGAUCGGCUAACUCCGUGCCAGCAGCCGCGGUAAUACGGAGGAUCCGAGCGUUAUCCGGAUUUAUUGGGUUUAAAGGGAGCGUAGAUGGAUGUUUAAGUCAGUUGUGAAAGUUUGCGGCUCAACCGUAAAAUUGCAGUUGAUACUGGAUGUCUUGAGUGCAGUUGAGGCAGGCGGAAUUCGUGGUGUAGCGGUGAAAUGCUUAGAUAUCACGAAGAACUCCGAUUGCGAAGGCAGCCUGCUAAGCUGCAACUGACAUUGAGGCUCGAAAGUGUGGGUAUCAAACAGGAUUAGAUACCCUGGUAGUCCACACGGUAAACGAUGAAUACUCGCUGUUUGCGAUAUACGGCAAGCGGCCAAGCGAAAGCGUUAAGUAUUCCACCUGGGGAGUACGCCGGCAACGGUGAAACUCAAAGGAAUUGACGGGGGCCCGCACAAGCGGAGGAACAUGUGGUUUAAUUCGAUGAUACGCGAGGAACCUUACCCGGGCUUAAAUUGCACUCGAAUGAUCCGGAACGGUUCAGCUAGCAAUAGCGAGUGUGAAGGUGCUGCAUGGUUGUCGUCAGCUCGUGCCGUGAGGUGUCGGCUUAAGUGCCAUAACGAGCGCAACCCUUGUUGUCAGUUACUAACAGGUGAUGCUGAGGACUCUGACAAGACUGCCAUCGUAAGAUGUGAGGAAGGUGGGGAUGACGUCAAAUCAGCACGGCCCUUACGUCCGGGGCUACACACGUGUUACAAUGGGGGGUACAGAGGGCCGCUACCACGCGAGUGGAUGCCAAUCCCUAAAACCCCUCUCAGUUCGGACUGGAGUCUGCAACCCGACUCCACGAAGCUGGAUUCGCUAGUAAUCGCGCAUCAGCCACGGCGCGGUGAAUACGUUCCCGGGCCU